This 468-nucleotide ribosomal RNA is filed under the name uncultured bacterium. RNAcentral's name for it is "partial 16S ribosomal RNA". It matches the Rfam family "Bacterial small subunit ribosomal RNA", at positions 28 to 507 of the family's 1533-position model. The record is from RNAcentral.
GACGAACGCUGGCGGCGUGCUUAACACAUGCAAGUCGAACGGAAAGGCCCUGCUUUUGUGGGGUGCUCGAGUGGCGAACGGGUGAGUAACACGUGAGUAACCUGCCCCUGACUUUGGGAUAACUUCAGGAAACUGGGGCUAUUACCGGAUAGGAGCUCCUGCUGCAUGGUGGGGGUUGGAAAGUUUCGGCUGUUGUGGAUGGAUUGGCGGCUUAUGGGCUUGUUGGUGGGGUAGUUGCUUACCAAGGCUGUGACGGCUAGCCGGCCUGGGAGGGUGACCGGCCACAUGGGGACUGAGAGACGGACCAGACGCGUACGGGACGCAGCGGUGGAGAAUAUGACAGAGUGGGCGGGAGCGAGAGGCAGCGACGCCGCGUUCGUGAUGACGGGCUUCGGGUGGUAAACCGCUUUCGCCUGUGAUGAGGAGUGAGUGACGGUAAUGGGUAAAGAAGCAACGGCUAACUACGUG